UGAUGGUCCAGCUUCUCCAGAAACAGAGCUCUUCACCACGUUCCUAAAGGCUGGAAAAUGUCUUCCCAGUGCGGCUCAACAAGCAACGUGUGAACGUCUCAGUGGGCAGCGUAGAGAGACCGACUGGACCAUGGAAGUAAUCUGUGGUCAGGCUGGUCUCAUCAUCGUGUACGAGCAGUGAUUUUAAGGACUGUCCAACCUGAGAAUGCUGGAGUUUUUGGUCAAUCUCAGGUUCGUCAGCCCAUGAAAAACUGUCUCACUUGAACCCGCGCGGAUGAACGAUGGUUCUUCUAACCACCAGAAUGGCACUUCACCUUAUGGCCGAGUAAAAUCUGUGACACUGUAUUUGUGUAUUACUGGAAUAGACUUACAGACACAAAUACAGCAGAACUUGUCAUUUCUGGUAAGAUUUCUGGUAAAUUGAUGAUGAGUUGUAAAUUGAAAAAUCCCUCGCCAAUGUGGUUUAAUUGUAGAGUGUUAUGUGAGAUCUUUUUAAAGUUGGGUCAAAUGUUUAAUGCUGUUAAAUAUGUUUUUUGUUAGUCUAAAUUUGUCAAAAUCUUUUUAUUAAACUGAUUCACAUUAUAUUUUAUAUACAUUACACAUGUAUUUUUGGUUUAAAAAUGAACGAAUGUUGAGCAAUGAAUAAACUGCUUUACUUUCUCGUU
Triplophysa rosa is the source of this 665-nucleotide long non-coding RNA. RefSeq lists it as uncharacterized. The transcript is spliced from 2 exons. The record is from RefSeq and is a predicted model, not a curated record. Lineage: Eukaryota; Metazoa; Chordata; Actinopteri; Cypriniformes; Nemacheilidae.